RNAcentral lists this small nuclear RNA (105 nucleotides) under Rhinopithecus roxellana (golden snub-nosed monkey). RNAcentral describes it as "U4atac minor spliceosomal RNA (ENSRROG00000004571.1)". The record is from RNAcentral. Lineage: Eukaryota; Metazoa; Chordata; Mammalia; Primates; Cercopithecidae.
ACCAUUCUUUUGUUGGGUUUGUGCUACUGUCCAAUGAGCGCGUGGUGAGAGCAGUACUGCUAACACCUACCAAAAAAAAAAAAAAGCAAAAAUAAACAUGAAAAA